This 858-nucleotide ribosomal RNA is filed under the name uncultured Staphylococcus sp. RNAcentral's name for it is "bacterial SSU rRNA". It matches the Rfam family "Bacterial small subunit ribosomal RNA", at positions 61 to 896 of the family's 1533-position model. Lineage: Bacteria; Bacillati; Bacillota; Bacilli; Caryophanales; Staphylococcaceae. The record is from RNAcentral.
GUCGAGCGAACGGACGAGAAGCUUGCUUCUCUGAUGUUAGCGGCGGACGGGCGAGUAACACGUGGAUAACCUACCUAUAAGACUGGGAUAACUUCGGGAAACCGGAGCUAAUACCGGAUAAUAUUUUGAACCGCAUGGUUCAAAAGUGAAAGACGGUCUUGCUGUCACUUAUAGAUGGAUCCGCGCUGCAUUAGCUAGUUGGUAAGGUAACGGCUUACCAAGGCAACGAUGCAUAGCCGACCUGAGAGGGUGAUCGGCCACACUGGAACUGAGACACGGUCCAGACUCCUACGGGAGGCAGCAGUAGGGAAUCUUCCGCAAUGGGCGCAAGCCUGACGGAGCAACGCCGCGUGAGUGAUGAAGGUCUUCGGAUCGUAAAACUCUGUUAUUAGGGAAGAACAUAUGUGUAAGUAACUGUGCACAUCUUGACGGUACCUAAUCAGAAAGCCACGGCUAACUACGUGCCAGCAGCCGCGGUAAUACGUAGGUGGCAAGCGUUAUCCGGAAUUAUUGGGCGUAAAGCGCGCGUAGGCGGUUUUUUAAGUCUGAUGUGAAAGCCCACGGCUCAACCGUGGAGGGUCAUUGGAAACUGGAAAACUUGAGUGCAGAAGAGGAAAGUGGAAUUCCAUGUGUAGCGGUGAAAUGCGCAGAGAUAUGGAGGAACACCAGUGGCGAAGGCGACUUUCUGGUCUGUAACUGACGCUGAUGUGCGAAAGCGUGGGGAUCAAACAGGAUUAGAUACCCUGGUAGUCCACGCCGUAAACGAUGAGUGCUAAGUGUUAGGGGGUUUCCGCCCUCCUUAGUGCUGCAGCUAACGCUAUUAAGCUACUCCGCCUGGGGAGUACGACCGUCAAGUUG